GACGAACGCUGGCGGCGUGCUUAACACAUGCAAGUCGAGCGGAGCAGCGAACGGGUGAGUAACGCGUGAGUAACUGCCCCUCUCCCUGCGAUCACAGUUGGAAACGGCUGCUAAUACCGGAUAGUGGGGGUUGACUCGCGUCCUAUGGGCUUGUUGGUGGGGUAGUGGCCUACCAAUGCGACGACGGGUAGCCGGCCUGUGAGGGCGACCGGCCAAAUUGGGCUGAGAUACGGACCAAAGUCCUACGGGAGGCAGCAGUGGAGAAUGUUGCACAAUGGGGGAAACCCUGAUGCAGCAACGCGCGUGCGGGAUGACGGCCUUCGGGUUGUAAACCGCUUUCAGCCAUGACGCGGUAGUGGCAGAAGAAGCACCGGCUAACUACGUGCCAGCCGCCGCGGUAAUAC
Molecule: ribosomal RNA, 404 nt
Filed under: uncultured bacterium
Lineage: Bacteria
Description: partial 16S ribosomal RNA
Rfam family: Bacterial small subunit ribosomal RNA
Source: RNAcentral